This 151-nucleotide unclassified non-coding RNA is filed under the name soil metagenome. RNAcentral describes it as "partial internal transcribed spacer 1". The record is from RNAcentral.
CCGAGUUGACAAACUCCCAAACCCUCGUGAACAGUACCACAUUAGUUGCCUCGGCGAUCAGCCCGCUCCCGGGUAACGACGGGCGCCGCCAGAGGACCCGUAAAACUCUUUCUAUAACAGUUACAUUCUGAGUAAUAACCAUAAUAAGUCA